Molecule: long non-coding RNA, 3027 nt
Filed under: Phaseolus vulgaris (common bean)
Lineage: Eukaryota; Viridiplantae; Streptophyta; Magnoliopsida; Fabales; Fabaceae
Description: long non-coding RNA (PVUL_LNC001953)
Source: RNAcentral
AUCGAGAGAGAGGGAUGUGUGCAGUGUGUAGUGUGAGUGUUGGUUUUAGCUUUUAAUUUAUUGGUGAGAAAAGAAACUGCGUGGAAUGUGUUCGAUAAAAGUUGUUCGAGACAGAAAGCGUGCUAACAGCAGGCAUGGCCGUGACAAGGUGUGGUCUCUCCUAAUCUCCUGUCCUUUCAUUUUCUUCUUCUUCCAUCUUUUCUUUCUUUCCUUUUUUCCCUUUCAAUUUCUUAAAUUAAAUCACGUCAUAGGGCUAUGCUCAUUUUCUUUUCUUAUCACCAAAUAUUGAUUGAUGGGUAGAAAAUGUUUUCUUAUAUAAUCAAACUCUUUAUUACAUACUCACAACUGUCCGAAAACUUCUCUUAAAUUUUGUAUUUGUAUUCGUUGACACGGAUAGUUGCAUUGUGUUUUGUGUUAUCGUGUUUUACAUUGAAAGAUAGUAUGUGAUUUUAUACUAAUAUUCGUUUCGUGUCGUAUCAGUGUUCAGAUUGUAUGUGAUUUUAUACUAAUAUUCGUUUCGUGUCAUAUCAGUAUUCAUAUUUAUUGUUCGUGUUGGUAUCUUGUAUUUAGUGUUCGUGUCGGUAUCUCUUCUACAUAGGACAUGAGUUUUUUCAUUUUCCUUUUUCUUUUCCAAAGUUUUAUGUCACACCAAAUUGUGAAAUGUUAAUGCUCAUUACCUAUCUGUUGUCAUCCUUAUCUUCUAGUAAAGAAUCAUUAUUGUGUCUAUGAACAUUUUUCAGUGGGGUUGCUAAUACGAAUAAUCAAUGGGGAUUGGUUACUUCUUCCAAUUGCUUGACAAAACCAUUGCUUUAAAGGUAUGUAAUAUAUAUUUCAUUUUAUUUUAAUUUUGUAAAGUAUAUGAUGAUAAAUUUGACUGAUUAAAUAUUUAAAGAUAAUAUUUUGUACUUUUAUUGAAUAUGGAAGUUAUUAAUUGAUUUUUUAUGUUGCUAUAUCGAAGAGGUGACAACCUGUCCUAGUUCUUAUUUAACAGCAUUAUUUAUGUGAUUUGUGAUUGUGUGUGUAUUAUUUUGAUUUUCUGUCCCAUUCUCAUUGACCAUAAUUGGUAUCCAGGCGUCAUUUUCUAUUCCCAACAAAACAAACUGCUUUGACUUUUAUUACUAUGUCAACAAAUAGAAAUAUGCAUUUAUAAGUUGUCUAGUGGGACCAUUUUCAAAUGUUCCUUUCAUAUGCUGUGGUUAUAUUCCUUCAGACUUUUGAGGACUUACCCUUGUAUUACCUUAUUCAAAUGUCACUUUUCAGGACUUACCCCUCUAUUAACCUAAUUCAACAUUUGACGUUGGUCAGGGUGGUCCACUGUAUCAAAUGCUUUAUGCUGGAUAUAUUUUAAUAAUAACCACAUGAUUUUUUACUAUAAUAAUAAACUGUUGAAAUGAGCCUCAAACAACCUUCUUUGCAGUUAUUAUUUGUUAUUUUUCUACUGCAACAUAAAUAUUGUAUACAUUCAAUCCUUUUUUUUUUCAAGAAACCUCAUAAAGGACUUAUCAUAAUCACCUUUAAACCGUUGAUGCAAAUAACACAGCACAUCUUUUUAAAAGAAUGGCUCCUUGUGUGAUUAGCAAUUGCUUGAUAAAAAUAUAAUGCUAUAUUUUAUAAAAUUCCUUUAUACAAAUAAAUAAGUAAGUGCAUAUUUAUUCUUUGGUAAAAUAUUGAGAAUAUGAUACCUACUUAAGGUAAUUGGACCAAGUCACCUUUGUAAUGGAAAAACUCAAAUAUAUUCGAAAAUUUAUUUAUGUAAAAAAACAGUCAAAUAUUUGAUAACUAUUUUAUUGGAUAUUUCACCAAACCUAAAUAUUUUCUUGGAAGUAUUCAUUAAAUUUUAUCCACUAACUUAAAUACUAUCAAUUAUAAAAGUUAUUGGAAGUAUUCAUUAAAUCUUAUCAACUUUAUAUUAAUAUUGUGAAAAAAAGUGUUGAAUGAAUCAAUUGAUUGAUAAGUAACCAGUAAUACCUUCAUUCUUUUUUUGAAGAGGUGACAGUGUUUUAAAUGAUAUUUGUAGAUCGCAUACUCAUGAUCUUAGGAUGUUUGCGUUUGACCCACAUAUUGAACCAAGUCGAGUAUUUUUGUUGGUCCUCAAGAUUAGCAUAGUUCAUAAUUUGUUGCACAUCCAUAACCACUUUUUCUUGAAUGUUUUGUGUUGUUAGACCUAUAUUCUCAACUGGUUUAAGAGGAAGGAAUCACAGGAUGUGAUUUGACUUCUUGCUCUAUAUGUUAUUGUAGACGUUGUUUGAAUUGGUGGGUGGUCCAAUCUUGGUAUAGUGUGUGAUUUGCUAAUGAAGAACGUGCAUCUCAUCAUGAUGUUGAUUUCGCAAAAGCUCCAUAUCCUUGUCAAACUUGUGUUGCAUGCGAGUAAUGACAUUUUGGACACUCAUUUCAUUCUUUUAGAUAAUGGUUUCCAUAUGAGUUUUAAGCGCUUCAAGCGAAGAUGAUUUGAUCUUGCAAUAUGAUGUCAUUAAUGGGGUCGAAAAUGAAAGGUGGUUGUGAAGGCUCCACUAGCGACGAUGGUUAAUCAUCACUUCAUCGCAACUCAAGCUUAAUGAAGACGAAAAUGAAAGGUGGUUGUGAAGACUCCAUUAGCGACAAUGGUUAAUCAUCAUUUCAUUGCAACUCAAGCUUAAUGUGAACGAAAAUGAAAGGUGGUUGUGAAGGCUCCACUAGCGACGAUCGUUAAUCAUCACUUUAUCGCAACUCAAGCUUAAUGGGGACGAAAAUGAAAUGUUUAUGACUAAGAAGGUACAUGUCAAGUAAGACCAAGUACCUUAAUAGGAAACAUAAGGAUAAGUUAUCUUCCAUCUUGAGUUUUGAGUACCAUUAGGUGCUCAACAAAGUGAAUUCAUAUGCCUUCGAGUAUGUCUUGAAGGGAUGAGUUGAAGAGUUUCCAAAAUUCUUCUACUUGUAUAAUAACCAAAAUGAUAUUGAGCUUCUUUUUAUUAAGGAAUACUUAUCUUGCUUUCGUGUAUGAAUGUUUAUUUAAGGACUUAUAUGUUUUGUUUUUCCUAUCCAUUGUUG